Molecule: ribosomal RNA, 418 nt
Filed under: Sphenomorphus maculatus
Lineage: Eukaryota; Metazoa; Chordata; Lepidosauria; Squamata; Scincidae
Description: partial 12S ribosomal RNA
Rfam family: Bacterial small subunit ribosomal RNA
Source: RNAcentral
GAUUAGAUACCCCACUAUGCUUUGCCCUAAACACAGAUAAUAGUAAUACAAUUUUAUCCGCCAGAGAACUACAAGCGAAAAGCUGGAAACUCCAAGGACUUGGCGGUGCUUCAAAUCAACCUAGAGGAGCCUGUCCUAUAAUCGAUACCCCACGUUUUACCUUACCGCUCUUGGCCAAUCAGCCUAUAUACCGCCGUCGAAAGCCUACCUUAUGAAAGAGACAAAGUAGGCAAAAUAGUUAACAACUAGCACGUCAGGUCAAGGUGUAGCAUAUGGGGCGGCAGAGAUGGGCUACAUUUUUAAAAAUAAUACACGAAUAACAUGUUGAAAUACAUGUUUGAAGGCGGAUUUAGUAGUAAAAUAAACAAGAAAAGUUAUUUUAAACCUGCUCUGAAGCGCGCACACACCGCCCGUCACC